RNAcentral lists this ribosomal RNA (284 nucleotides) under Roseburia faecis M72/1. Its description in RNAcentral is "partial 16S ribosomal RNA". It matches the Rfam family "Bacterial small subunit ribosomal RNA", at positions 493 to 776 of the family's 1533-position model. Lineage: Bacteria; Bacillati; Bacillota; Clostridia; Lachnospirales; Lachnospiraceae. The record is from RNAcentral.
UCUUUUCCUUUUUUGCCCGCCGCCGCGGUAAUACGUAUGGUGCAAGCGUUAUCCGGAUUUACUGGGUGUAAAGGGAGCGCAGGCGGUGCGGCAAGUCUGAUGUGAAAGCCCGGGGCUCAACCCCGGUACUGCAUUGGAAACUGUCGUACUAGAGUGUCGGAGGGGUAAGCGGAAUUCCUAGUGUAGCGGUGAAAUGCGUAGAUAUUAGGAGGAACACCAGUGGCGAAGGCGGCUUACUGGACGAUAACUGACGCUGAGGCUCGAAAGCGUGGGGAGCAAACAGG